Non-coding RNA from Heterocephalus glaber (naked mole-rat), 927 nucleotides. The record is from RefSeq and is a predicted model, not a curated record. Lineage: Eukaryota; Metazoa; Chordata; Mammalia; Rodentia; Bathyergidae.
ACAGCCUCCAGAGUGGUGGGAUUACAGUUACAGGCGUGUGCCACCACGCCUGACUUGGUAAGAAACUUUUGUGUGUUUGUAAACCUGAAAGAGGACAUAUGCUUCAUUUUGAGGGGAGCAGGCAAAGUGGAGCUGGGCAGAUCACGUCAUGGCUCCCUAUACUCUAAAACAGUGAGGGCAAACCUUUUAGAGACGGAGCAACCCAAAACUCACUUAACUAUGGCAAAGCGCCAACACUGCAGUUAAACCUGAAUACUGACAACCCGGUGAAAGCGCCCACGGCUGCUCGUGACGUCAUCAUACAGCGCCGCCGCUCCUUUCUGAGCAUGCGCGUGACCCCUGUGUGCAACAUCUGAUGCUGGGCUGCUGGCGAGACUGGGGCGACUUGGCUCGCUUAGGGACAGAGGGCUCUGCCGGCUGCGGCACAGGUGUCAAGUUCGCCACCUCUGCUCUGAAGGCUGUGCUGUGCAGUGUGGUAGCCACUAGCCACCUGCCGGCUGUUUAAAUUUAAAUGAACUGAAGUCUGCUUCCCAAUCUCACUAGCCUUAUUUCAGACGCUCAACGGAGGAAGCUAGUGGCCACCUACUGAGUGGGAAAGAACUAUCCAGGCCACGGAGCUGAACGUGUGGGAAGAGCACCCCGGCCUGCGCUGCUGCCGAGUCCAGUUCCUGAGUCGUACUUUCACGCAUUCGCUGGGAGACGUUCCGUGCCCGACAACAUAGGUGGUGGUAAUGGCAAGAGGAGAAGAAAGAAAGGGAGUGGGGCAGAAGGAUGGGGCAGGAAGUAGAUUUGACCAAAACCCCAAGAAACCCACUCACACCUGUGAAAAACUCAACCUUUAUUAUUACCUGCCUAUCGCAGGGGAUUAAAAUUGCCUCGAGCUAGGUCCAUAUAUUAGUGUAAAAAUCUGUCUCUCCCCCCAAAAAA